This 265-nucleotide ribosomal RNA is filed under the name uncultured bacterium. Its description in RNAcentral is "partial 16S ribosomal RNA". It matches the Rfam family "Bacterial small subunit ribosomal RNA", at positions 793 to 1055 of the family's 1533-position model. The record is from RNAcentral.
GUCCUUGCCUUAAACGAUGUAUACUUGACGUGGUUGGGCUCAACCCCGGCCGUGUCGUAGCUAACGCGAUAAGUAUACCGCCUGGGGAGUACACUCGCAAGGGUGAAACUCAAAAGAAUUGACGGGGACCCGCACAAGCAGUGGAGUAUGUGGUUUAAUUCGAUGCAACGCGAAGAACCUUACCUGGAUUUGACAUGCAAGAGACCGCGGCAGAAAUGUCGCUUUCCCGCAAGGGACUGUUGCACAGGUGCUGCAUGGCUGUCGU